AUUGAACGCUGGCGGCAGGCCUAACACAUGCAAGUCGAGCGGCGCGGCGGACGGGGGAGUAAUGCCUAGGGAUCUGCCUGGGAGUGGGGGAUAACGUCGGGCAACGGGCGCUAAUACCGCAUACUAUCAGAUCAGCUUAGGUCGGAUUAGCUGGUUGGUGGGGUAAUGGCCUACCAAGGCGACGAUCCGUAACUGGUCUGAGAGGAUGAUCAGUCAAACUGGAACUGGGACCCGGUCCAGACUCCUACGGGAGGCAGCAGUGGGGAAUAUUGGACAAUGGGCGAAAGCCUGAUCCAGCCAUGCCGCGUGUGUGAAGAAGGUCUUCGGAUUGUAAAGCACUUUAAGUUGGGAGGCGUUACCAACAGAAUAAGCACCGGCUAACUUCGUGCCAGCAGCCGCGGUAAUUC
Molecule: ribosomal RNA, 407 nt
Filed under: uncultured bacterium
Lineage: Bacteria
Description: partial 16S ribosomal RNA
Rfam family: Bacterial small subunit ribosomal RNA
Source: RNAcentral